This 464-nucleotide ribosomal RNA is filed under the name uncultured bacterium. Its description in RNAcentral is "partial 16S ribosomal RNA". It matches the Rfam family "Bacterial small subunit ribosomal RNA", at positions 28 to 507 of the family's 1533-position model. The record is from RNAcentral.
GACGAACGCUGGCGGCGUGCUUAACACAUGCAAGUCGUACGGUAAGGCCCUUUCGGGGGUACACGAGUGGCGAACGGGUGAGUAACACGUGAGUAACCUGCCCACAACUUUGGGAUAACGCUAGGAAACUGGUGCUAAUACUGGAUAUGUGCUCCUGCUGCAUGGUGGGGGUUGGAAAGCUCCGGCGGUUGUGGAUGGACUCGCGGCCUAUCAGCUUGUUGGUGGGGUAGUGGCCUACCAAGGCGGCGACGGGUAGCCGGCCUGAGAGGGUGACCGGCCACAUUGGGACUGAGAUACGGCCCAGACUCCUACGGGAGGCAGCAGUGGGAAUAUUGCACAAUGGGCGCAAGCCUGAUGCAGCAACGCCGCGUGCGGGAUGACGGCCUUCGGGUUGUAAACCGCUUUCAGCAGGGACGAAGCUUUUUGUGACGGUACCUGCAGAAGAAGCACCGGCUAACUACGUG